RNAcentral lists this ribosomal RNA (454 nucleotides) under uncultured bacterium. Its description in RNAcentral is "bacterial SSU rRNA". It matches the Rfam family "Bacterial small subunit ribosomal RNA", at positions 340 to 786 of the family's 1533-position model. The record is from RNAcentral.
UACGGGAGGCAGCAGUGGGGAAUAUUGCACAAUGGGCGCAAGCCUGAUGCAGCCAUGCCGCGUGUAUGAAAAAGGCCUUCGGGUUGUAAAGUACUUUCAGUCGUGAGGAGGGUGUUAAGGUUAAUAACCUUAGCAAUUGACGUUAGCGACAGAAGAAGCACCGGCUAACUCCGUGCCAGCAGCCGCGGUAAUACGGAGGGUGCGAGCGUUAAUCGGAAUUACUGGGCGUAAAGGGCACGCAGGCGGUUAAUUAAGUUGGAUGUGAAAUCCCCGGGCUUAACCUGGGAAUGGCAUUCAAGACUGGUUAGCUAGAGUCUUGUAGAGGGGGUAGAAUUCCAUGUGUAGCGGUGAAAUGCGUAGAGAUGUGGAGGAAUACCGGUGGCGAAGGCGGCCCCUGGACAAAGACUGACGCUCAUGUGCGAAAGCGUGGGGAGCGAAACAGGGAUUAGAUACC